UCUUGUAGCAUAAAGGUAAUAUAGAAAGAAAAAUAGAGACCAAAUAUCAAUCGCAUCUAAUGAUAGCUGGGUACUAUCCUAAAAGUAUAAUAGUACUCUUUUCUAGAAGAAAAGAUAGUUUCUCUGGGAUCAGCUAGAGAAACAAAAAGUAAUGAACAAAACUAAAUUAUUAUAUAAAAUAAGCUUAAAAAUAGCUACUUCUAAAACCUGUAAAAAGGUAUAUAGUCCUAAAACAAUAAUUAUAUUAAAUUCAUUCCUACAUAGGAAGUAAUAAAGUUUAAUAAAUGAACUUUAAUUAAAAUGGUAGUAUAAGUAAAGCUAUUAAUAAACUGUUUAAUAGUAAAAAAUAUCAAGAAAGGAACUCGGCAAAAAAGAACAAAGACUGUUUAUCAAAAACAUAGCCUCCUGUAACAAUAAGAGGUAUUACUGCCCAAUGAAAGAUAUUUUUAAUGGACUCGUUGGGGUUAAAGUAGCGUGAUAAUUUGUCCUUUUAUUGAGGACCUGUAUGAAAGUAAAAACGAGGUUCAACUGUCUCCCUUGAUAAAAUUAAAAUUAUUUAACAAGUGAAAAUACUUGUAUAAAAUUGAAGGACGAUAAGACCCUAUAGAGUUUUAAUAAAACAUCUUCAACCUUAAAAAAGCUUGAGAUGGGAGUUUUAGUUGGGGAAACAUAGGAGCAUAACUCUCCUAUAAAAAUAAUUUUAUAUAUAAAAUCAAUAAAUCCUCCAAGAGCUAAAGAAAAACUACCUUAGGGAUAACAGCGUAAUCCUUCUUAAGAGACCUAAUCGAAAGAAGGGUUUGCGACCUCGAUGUUGGACUAAGGUAUCCUAAUGGUGUAGAGACUAUUAAAGGUAAGCCUGUUCGGCUUAAAAACCUUACAUGAU
Molecule: ribosomal RNA, 883 nt
Filed under: Amathia cf. gracilis AW-2014
Lineage: Eukaryota; Metazoa; Bryozoa; Gymnolaemata; Ctenostomatida; Vesiculariidae
Description: partial 16S ribosomal RNA
Rfam family: Bacterial large subunit ribosomal RNA
Source: RNAcentral